AGCAGCCGCGGUAAUCCCAGCUCCAAUAGCGUAUAUUAAAGUUGUUGCAGUUAAAAAGCUCGUAGUUGAAUUUCGGGAUCAGUACGCUGGUCGUGCCUUUGGUAUGUACUGGUGUCACUGAUUCCUCCCUUCUGAAGAACCGUUAUGCCAUUUAUUUGGUGUGGCGGGGAAUCAGGACUGUUACUUUAGAAAAAAUUAGAGUGUUUAAAGCAGGCUCGCGCUUGAAUACAUUAGCAUGGGAUAAUGAAAUAGGACGUUUGAUUCUAUUUUGUUGGUUUCUAGGAUCGACGUAAUGAUUAAUAGGGAUAGUUGGGGGCAUUAGUAUUCAAUUGUCAGAGGUGAAAUUCUUGGAUUUAUUGAAGACUAACUACUGCGAAAGCAUUUGCCAAGGAUGUUUUCAUUAAUCAAGAACGAAAGUUAGGGGAUCGAAGACGAUCAGAUACCGUCGUAGUCUUAACCAUAAACUAUGCCGACUA
RNAcentral lists this ribosomal RNA (476 nucleotides) under uncultured Glomus. Its description in RNAcentral is "SSU rRNA". It matches the Rfam family "Eukaryotic small subunit ribosomal RNA", at positions 569 to 1048 of the family's 1831-position model. Lineage: Eukaryota; Fungi; Glomeromycota; Glomeromycetes; Glomerales; Glomeraceae. The record is from RNAcentral.